UUCCGGUUGAUCCUGCCGGAGGUUACUGCUAUCGGUAUUCGACUAAGCCAUGCGAGUUAAAUGUUCUUCGUGAACAUAGCGAACUGCUCAGUAACACGUGGAUAACCUGCCCUUAGGUUCGGCAUAACUCCGGGAAACUGGAGAUAAUUCCGAAUAAACCAUUCCUGCUGGAAUGCUUUUUGGUUCAAAGACUUCGGUUGCCUAAGGAUGGAUCUGCGGUCUAUCAGGUAGUAGUGGGUGUAAGGUACCUACUAGCCUACGACGGAUAUGGGUUGUGAGAGCAAGAGCCCAGAGAUGGAUUCUGAGACAUGAAUCCAGGCCCUACGGGGCGCAGCAGGCGCGAAAACUUUACAAUGCGGGAAACCGCGAUAAGGGGAUACCGAGUGCCAGCAUAUUAUGUUGGCUGUCCACAUGUGUAAACGGCAUGUGUUAGCAAGGGCCGGGCAAGACCGGUGCCAGCCGCCGCGGUAACACCGGCGGCCCGAGUGGUAAUCACUUUUAUUGGGUCUAAAGGGUCCGUAGCCGGUUUGAUCAGUUCUUCGGGAAAUCUGACAGCUCAACUGUUAGGCUUCCGGGGAAUACUGUCAGACUUGGGACCGGGAGAGGUAAGAGGUACUACAGGGGUAGGAGUGAAAUCUUGUAAUCCCUGUGGGACCACCAGUGGCGAAGGCGUCUUACCAGAACGGGUCCGACGGUGAGGGACGAAAGCUGGGGGAGCAAACCGGAUUAGAUACCCGGGUAGUCCCAGCUGUAAACUAUGCAAACUCAGUGAUGCAUUGGCUUGU
This 785-nucleotide ribosomal RNA is filed under the name uncultured archaeon. RNAcentral describes it as "bacterial SSU rRNA". It matches the Rfam family "Archaeal small subunit ribosomal RNA", at positions 1 to 787 of the family's 1478-position model. The record is from RNAcentral.